This 188-nucleotide non-coding RNA is filed under the name Aquibacillus salsiterrae. RNAcentral describes it as "6S / SsrS RNA". It matches the Rfam family "6S / SsrS RNA". From Rfam's summary of the family: E. coli 6S RNA was the first non coding RNA to be sequenced, but its function was unknown until recently. It consists of 184 nucleotides that fold into an extended hairpin structure with a large single-stranded internal bulge. Lineage: Bacteria; Bacillati; Bacillota; Bacilli; Caryophanales; Bacillaceae. The record is from Rfam by way of RNAcentral.
UACAGGCUACGUUGUUCGUAAUUCUAAUAAGUUUUAACCUUUAAACUGUAAUAGGGAGUUUUAUAUCGAAACCGGAAUGUCAAGCCUCCAUUACGAGUGGAAGACAGGAACGUUUCUGCAAACACCCACUUUGAGGAGUGGUGGUUUAAAACUUUAUUACACAAAGUUACGGCAAUGGUGGCUCACUU